RNAcentral lists this ribosomal RNA (386 nucleotides) under uncultured bacterium. RNAcentral's name for it is "bacterial SSU rRNA". It matches the Rfam family "Bacterial small subunit ribosomal RNA", at positions 29 to 416 of the family's 1533-position model. The record is from RNAcentral.
ACGAACGCUGGCGGCGUGCUUAACACAUGCAAGUCGAGCGGUAAGGCCCUUUCGGGGGUACACGAGCGGCGAACGGGUGAGUAACACGUGGGUGACCUGCCCUCAGCUCUGGGAUAAGCCUGGGAAACCGGGUCUAAUACCGGAUAUGACUCCAUGACGCAUGUUGUGGGGUGGAAAGCCUUGUGCGGCUGAGGAUGGGCCCGCGGCCUAUCAGCUUGUUGGUGGGGUGAUGGCCUACCAAGGCGACGACGGGUAGCCGGCCUGAGAGGGCGACCGGCCACACCGGGACUGAGACACGACCCAGACUCCUACGGGAGGCAGCAGUGGGGAAUCUUGCGCAAUGGGCGAAAGCCUGACGCAGCGACGCCGCGUGAGGGAUGACGGCC